Molecule: ribosomal RNA, 164 nt
Filed under: uncultured bacterium
Lineage: Bacteria
Description: partial 16S ribosomal RNA
Rfam family: Bacterial small subunit ribosomal RNA
Source: RNAcentral
UAGGGAAUCUUCCACAAUGGACGAAAGUUUGAUGGAGCAACGCCGCGUGAGUGAAGAAGGGUUUCGGCUCGUAAAACUCUGUUGUUAAAGAAGAACAUAUCUGAGAGUAACUGUUCAGGUAUUGACGGUAUUUAACCAGAAAGCCACGGCUAACUACGUGCCGG